UCCCAGCAGUCCGAGUAGCAGCCACAAUUAUUUGGUCUAAAACAUUCGUAGCUCGCCAGGAAAGUUUCCUGUCAAAUCCUUCUGCUUAACAGAAGGGCGUGCAAGAAAUACUUCCUGGCUUGGGACCAGAAGGUGUGAGAAGAACAGCUGAGGUAGUGGUAAAAUACGUUAAUCUCAGCUGGACUAACAAUCGCGAAGGCAUCUCACAAGUAUGGAUCCGACGGUGAGGAAUGAAAGCUAGGGGCGCGAAACGG
This 254-nucleotide ribosomal RNA is filed under the name uncultured Natronobacterium sp. RNAcentral's name for it is "partial 16S ribosomal RNA". It matches the Rfam family "Archaeal small subunit ribosomal RNA", at positions 474 to 727 of the family's 1478-position model. Lineage: Archaea; Methanobacteriati; Methanobacteriota; Halobacteria; Halobacteriales; Natrialbaceae. The record is from RNAcentral.